AUGCGUGUGUGUGCGCCACGCGUCCGUGUUCUGCACUUGUCGUACAGACAACCAGGGCUGCUAGCAAGGAUUAAUCCGUUGCUUCUUCCAAGCCUCUCUAAUUUAGAAGUACACGUGGACGGUCCAGAUCUUCAGAUCUUUGGAAUGUUUCCAGAGCUGGUUACUCUUAAGCUGAACACCCCAAUCGGCCUCCACCAUAAUGCCAUGGGAGCUGUAGGUGCUUUCCCCAAGCUAAGGGUUUUCACUACGAGUGGAACGCCCGGCCGGUUUGUGAAGGGAGAUAUGCCAUGCCUUGAACACCUCGAGUUCCGCAUCAAUUUUGUGCAGGAAUCCAAUCUUGAGUUUGACUUUGCUAGCUUGGUGAACCUCCCUUUGCUUCAGAAAGUUAAAGCCUAUAUAGUGCAUGAUCCUGCUAUCGUCCCUCGUGCGGACCUCCACAAGGCAGUGGAAGUGGCAAGGCAUGUGAUUAACAUCCUUCCCGACCCUCCCAUACUUCAGUUCUUUGCGAUGCCGAUCAGUUCUGACUGA
Molecule: ribosomal RNA, 528 nt
Filed under: Triticum aestivum (bread wheat)
Lineage: Eukaryota; Viridiplantae; Streptophyta; Magnoliopsida; Poales; Poaceae
Description: partial small subunit ribosomal RNA
Source: RNAcentral